GUUUAUACUGUAUAGUGAGUAAUGCCUGUAAAUUGUUCAGUGAUUAUUUCAUGUCUCAGUGGAAGCUGUAGGUUGAUGAAGCUUGAUGUGUAUUGACAAACGGCGAGACAUCAACCAGUCAGUUGCCUGACUUUAAUUUUCCUAAUGAAAGUUGUCAGCACACAUUUUGUGCUCUUGGUGUUUAUAUUGUUGUAUGCCUACAAGCCUAUGUUAUAUUGUUUGUAUGCCUAAAAUCAUUGAACUGCAUUAGGUACGAAUAAGGACAUAAGGCACUGGCUAUGAUUCUUUGUAGAUGUAGGGUUAUGCAAAUAUUAAAUUGGAGUUUAGUUUAAUACUGUAAAUAGUAAAUACUGUACUACCAGUAACAGUAUAUGUUAUAAGAUUAAAUUACACGUGUGACAUAUAUGUGAGUAGCUAUGGCAAGAAUUUUGUUUAUAUUUUGUAUACAUGUACUAUAUGUGGUUACAGUACAAAUUGUUGUAAUAAUCAUAUUGAGUUAGUAUUAGGCAAAAGUAGUAUGUUAAUUGAAAUAUUGAGAACUUUUCAUUUAGCUUGAUUAAAUUCUUUAUCUGCAGACUUGACCUGCAAAUGCUCAAUGUUUACUUGUACUGAAUUCAAUUAUUAUUUUAGUUUCUGGGUAAUGUCCAAUACUGUACUUAAAUGUGUUUGGGUUCUUGUAUGUUAAAAUUUAAGGAUUGUAUACUUGAUAAACUUGAGUGAUAGAGAGGACAUCAUAGAUGUCGAGUGAUUAUUGCACAGAGCAACCUGGAGGUACAGUAUAUGGGGCUUGUCUAAUUGUAUACCAAUAUUUUUGUGUAUGUAAUAAAAUAUAAUUGAAGGCUCAGAUCAGCAGUACUGUUAUGUUAUCAGUGCCAUCUUUAAUUAUAUUUUGGCUCAUUUUAUUGUUGCAUUAAAUAAGAGGCUCAAA
Procambarus clarkii (red swamp crayfish) is the source of this 928-nucleotide non-coding RNA. NCBI's taxonomy places the organism in Eukaryota, Metazoa, Arthropoda, Malacostraca, Decapoda, Cambaridae. The record is from RefSeq and is a predicted model, not a curated record.